GCACUGGUAGCUCAGUGGUAAAACUCCUACCUUCCAUGCUGGGGAGCCAGGUUCAAUUUCUGGCCAAUGCA
RNAcentral lists this transfer RNA (71 nucleotides) under Loxodonta africana (African savanna elephant). It matches the Rfam family "tRNA". From Rfam's summary of the family: Transfer RNA (tRNA) molecules are approximately 80 nucleotides in length. Lineage: Eukaryota; Metazoa; Chordata; Mammalia; Proboscidea; Elephantidae. The record is from Rfam by way of RNAcentral.